UUCGCAUCUCUUAGCCUGGCAAGCAGACAAAAGUCGUCCCCAAAACGAGAGGCGUGGAAACGAAAAGACGCGUUAUGAAGAAAAGAAACGAUAAUCAAAUUAAAAGGAUCACUAUUAAUGAGAGAAGGGGGUACUUGAUAAAAAAAGAAAACGAGAACUCGAUACGAGAUGAUGCAUAUACUUCCGUUCCCUUUCUAUAUGAUGCGAUAAUUCAAACAUUAAACUGUGCGAAAAGGCUCAAUAAUGCAUCUAAACAUUUCAUCCAAGGUUUCCAAAAAACAGAAGGUGGUAUAAAUACAGCUAACUGAGCAAACCUU
Molecule: non-coding RNA, 317 nt
Organism: Schizosaccharomyces pombe (fission yeast)
Lineage: Eukaryota; Fungi; Ascomycota; Schizosaccharomycetes; Schizosaccharomycetales; Schizosaccharomycetaceae
Source: the annotation of a GenBank genome assembly